Molecule: ribosomal RNA, 464 nt
Filed under: uncultured bacterium
Lineage: Bacteria
Description: bacterial SSU rRNA
Rfam family: Bacterial small subunit ribosomal RNA
Source: RNAcentral
CCUACGGGAGGCAGCAGUCGAGAAUUUUUCUCAAUGGGGGAAACCCUGAAGGAGCGACGCCGCGUGGAGGAUGAAGGUCUUCGGAUUGUAAACUCCUGUCAUGAGAGAGUAAGGCACUGCGUUAACUGCGCGUGUGUUUGAUAGUAUCUCAAGAGGAAGGGACGGCUAACUCUGUGCCAGCAGCCGCGGUAAUACAGAGGUCCCGAGCGUUGUUCGGAUUCAUUGGGCGUAAAGGGUGCGUAGGCGGCAUGGUAAGUCAGAUGUGAAAUUUCAGGGCUCAACCCUGAAACUGCAUUUGAUACUGCCGUGCUCGAGUGCUGGAGAGGAGACUGGAAUUCACGGUGUAGCAGUGAAAUGCGUAGAUAUCGUGAGGAAGGCCAGUGGCGAAGGCGAGUCUCUGGACAGCAACUGACGCUGAGGCACGAAGGCUAGGGGAGCAAACGGGAUUAGAUACCCUAGUAGUC